This 388-nucleotide ribosomal RNA is filed under the name uncultured bacterium. RNAcentral's name for it is "bacterial SSU rRNA". It matches the Rfam family "Bacterial small subunit ribosomal RNA", at positions 30 to 418 of the family's 1533-position model. The record is from RNAcentral.
AUUGAACGCUGGCGGCAUGCCUUACACAUGCAAGUCGAACGGCAGCGGACCUUCGGGUGCCGGCGAGUGGCGAACGGGUGAGUAAUAUAUCGGAACGUACCUUUCAGUGGGGGAGUAACGUAGCGAAAGUUACGCUAAUACCGCAUAUUCUGUGAGCAGGAAAGCAGGGGAUCGCAAGACCUUGCGCUGAUUGAGCGGCCGAUAUCAGAUUAGCUAGUUGGUGAGGUAAAGGCUCACCAAGGCGACGAUCUGUAGCGGGUCUGAGAGGAUGAUCCGCCACACUGGAACUGAGACACGGUCCAGACUCCUACGGGAGGCAGCAGUGGGGGAAUUUUGGACAAUGGGCGCAAGCCUGAUCCAGCCAUGCCGCGUGAGUGAAGAAGGCCUC